This 1538-nucleotide ribosomal RNA is filed under the name Klebsiella pneumoniae. RNAcentral's name for it is "bacterial SSU rRNA". It matches the Rfam family "Bacterial small subunit ribosomal RNA". Lineage: Bacteria; Pseudomonadati; Pseudomonadota; Gammaproteobacteria; Enterobacterales; Enterobacteriaceae. The record is from RNAcentral.
AAAUUGAAGAGUUUGAUCAUGGCUCAGAUUGAACGCUGGCGGCAGGCCUAACACAUGCAAGUCGAGCGGUAGCACAGAGAGCUUGCUCUCGGGUGACGAGCGGCGGACGGGUGAGUAAUGUCUGGGAAACUGCCUGAUGGAGGGGGAUAACUACUGGAAACGGUAGCUAAUACCGCAUAACGUCGCAAGACCAAAGUGGGGACCUUCGGGCCUCAUGCCAUCAGAUGUGCCCAGAUGGGAUUAGCUAGUAGGUGGGGUAACGGCUCACCUAGGCGACGAUCCCUAGCUGGUCUGAGAGGAUGACCAGCCACACUGGAACUGAGACACGGUCCAGACUCCUACGGGAGGCAGCAGUGGGGAAUAUUGCACAAUGGGCGCAAGCCUGAUGCAGCCAUGCCGCGUGUGUGAAGAAGGCCUUCGGGUUGUAAAGCACUUUCAGCGGGGAGGAAGGCGAUAAGGUUAAUAACCUUGUCGAUUGACGUUACCCGCAGAAGAAGCACCGGCUAACUCCGUGCCAGCAGCCGCGGUAAUACGGAGGGUGCAAGCGUUAAUCGGAAUUACUGGGCGUAAAGCGCACGCAGGCGGUCUGUCAAGUCGGAUGUGAAAUCCCCGGGCUUAACCUGGGAACUGCAUUCGAAACUGGCAGGCUAGAGUCUUGUAGAGGGGGGUAGAAUUCCAGGUGUAGCGGUGAAAUGCGUAGAGAUCUGGAGGAAUACCGGUGGCGAAGGCGGCCCCUGGACAAAGACUGACGCUCAGGUGCGAAAGCGUGGGGAGCAAACAGGAUUAGAUACCCUGGUAGUCCACGCCGUAAACGAUGUCGAUUUGGAGGUUGUGCCCUUGAGGCGUGGCUUCCGGAGCUAACGCGUUAAAUCGACCGCCUGGGGAGUACGGCCGCAAGGUUAAAACUCAAAUGAAUUGACGGGGGCCCGCACAAGCGGUGGAGCAUGUGGUUUAAUUCGAUGCAACGCGAAGAACCUUACCUGGUCUUGACAUCCACAGAACUUUCCAGAGAUGGAUUGGUGCCUUCGGGAACUGUGAGACAGGUGCUGCAUGGCUGUCGUCAGCUCGUGUUGUGAAAUGUUGGGUUAAGUCCCGCAACGAGCGCAACCCUUAUCCUUUGUUGCCAGCGGUUAGGCCGGGAACUCAAAGGAGACUGCCAGUGAUAAACUGGAGGAAGGUGGGGAUGACGUCAAGUCAUCAUGGCCCUUACGACCAGGGCUACACACGUGCUACAAUGGCAUAUACAAAGAGAAGCGACCUCGCGAGAGCAAGCGGACCUCAUAAAGUAUGUCGUAGUCCGGAUUGGAGUCUGCAACUCGACUCCAUGAAGUCGGAAUCGCUAGUAAUCGUAGAUCAGAAUGCUACGGUGAAUACGUUCCCGGGCCUUGUACACACCGCCCGUCACACCAUGGGAGUGGGUUGCAAAAGAAGUAGGUAGCUUAACCUUCGGGAGGGCGCUUACCACUUUGUGAUUCAUGACUGGGGUGAAGUCGUAACAAGGUAACCGUAGGGGAACCUGCGGUUGGAUCACCUCCUUA